This 2303-nucleotide unclassified non-coding RNA is filed under the name Hevea brasiliensis (rubber tree). The record is from RNAcentral. Lineage: Eukaryota; Viridiplantae; Streptophyta; Magnoliopsida; Malpighiales; Euphorbiaceae.
AUUUAUUAUUUUUUUGUAUUAACACACCUAUUACUUGAUUAAAAGUGAUUAUAUUGAUGUGCACAACACAAUGAUAAUUUACAAAAAUGCAAGAUUAGAAAAUUCUUAUUGAUGUAUUAUACAUGGGGAUGUUCAUGACAAAAGAAAGGUGAUGUGCAUACUACAUUUAGUUUCCUGGGGAAAACUUACACUAAUUAACAAUGAAAUAUUUAUGUAUAUAUUUUAGGUUAUACAUAGAAUAUUUAAUGAAGAUAUACAUAUAAUAUAUGUCUACAACUUUUCCACAAAUCUUUACCCCCCAAAACAGAAAAAAAGAAUCAAUUUAAGCUCUAAACUGCAUGGGAACGGGAAAAAACAAAAACUCUAGUUAUGCCUGAUUAAAGCACAGCUAAUGCCAUGGACCGAUCGAAGCUGCCCUUCAAAGCUCUUGCCCUAGGUGGCCUUUUCUUGAUUGCCUUCUCCACCUCCGUCCCUGACAUGCUUUUCCCAAAUGGAAGGUGCACAGACGCUGCCGCUUGCAUCACUCCAUCUUUAGCUGCACCGCUAUGAAUGAGCACCCUGGUGAUCCCCACAUAGUGCAAGGACUCAGCAAUUUGUAAAGCAGUCACACCCUUAUUUGUCCUAGCUUCAACGUCUGCACCUUUCUUCACCAACAAUUCAAUCACAUCUGCGUGGCCUGAUUCCACUGCGCAAUGUAAUGCAGUGUAUCCAUCUUCAUCUUUAGCAUCAAUGUCUAUUCCCUUAUCGAGCAAAGCCCGAACUGCGUCUAUUUUGCCCUUGAAUGCUGCUCUAUGCAAUGCAGUCCACCCGUGCUGGUCGCGGCCAUUGAUAGCUGCUCCAUUUUCAAUCAAUUUCAGGAUAGUUCUUACCUCUCCUUUUCUAGCUGCGAUGCAUAAACUGUCACCCAAUUUCAAUGAAUCGAAAAGGCGGGUAUGGCCAUAUUCUGCAGCAACGUCGUAGGCUGUUUUGCCACUCUUGUUGCGGAUAUCUUUAUUUGCACCCUUUUGUAGUAGCAGUUUGACCAUGCUUUCGUCUCCUAGCUUUGCAGCUAUGUGCAAGGGCGUGUCUCCAUCGGUAGUGUCUCUGAUAGCGGCUUUAGCUCCACUAGCUAAUAGAAGACGAGUACAAUCACGCCUCCGCUCUUCGACGGCCAGGUGCAGAGCUGUAUUACCAUCUUUAGUGAGUGCAUCGACAUUAGCUCCUUUAAGUAAAAGAAGCCUCAAGACCUCCAAAUGGCCGCCUCCAGCCGCAAGGUGGAUUGGACCCCAAGUGGAGGACUCUGACCUUUCUGCGCUGGCUCGACGAGCUAAUAGAAGCUCAACUAUCAAGGCUUCACCGGCCCCUGCAGCAGCCUCCAGCGGGGUAGACCCUGAACGGCUUUGACGCUCCACGUCUGGCUCGAAUUCAAGAAGUAACUGGACAAUAUCUGGGCGGCCUUGAGCUAUAGCUAUAUGAAGCAAUGUUUGUCCAUGAGAAUCCACUGAAUCAGCUGGGUUCCAAGCUUGGUCACUACGUUCAAGCACUUCUCUUAUUUCAUCCAUAGCCCCAUCCGCAACUAGUUGAGCAAGAACUUGUGAGCCAACAAACAUGAUCUUGAUACCGCUAUCUAUAAACACUUGUUUCUUCUUUGCUGUGAACCAAUCAGGAGGAACGGCAUCAAAAUUGGAAGUGGGAUCUUUGAUCGAAGCACCAGGAACCACCACACUAUGCAAUAGAAAAGCAUCCUCGCAGUGAGGAAACGUGUCCGGGAGAAAAGACCCAGGAGGAAGAUGAUAGGUAAUCUCUAUAGUUAGAGUUGCAAGAGGAGAUAUAAUUCCAGACUGUGGCUUGAUGGUAUAUCGGGUCUUGUUCAUGGCCUGAAUCCUGAAAGCCACAGGCAUGGUGUACAUAACAUUUCGUAGAGUGAGCACUCCAUAGCAUUUCUGUCCAGGCUCGAUCCUGAUGGCCAAAAGAUUGGAUGGCUCCAAGCUUAUGAGCCUGUCCAUUUUGUUUUCUUGGGAACCAAACAACCAAACCUAAAGAAUUCUUGAUUCUUGAGAUGGAUUAGUUAUGAGGUAGAGGGAAAGGCAGCGGCCAUGAAAAGAAAAGGGGAAUGAGAAGUGAAGAAGAAGAAUGACAAGGUGUAUUAUAAGGAGAGGAAAGGUGUGCCGGCACUAGUGAGAGAGAGCCAAGUGGUGGUGUUAAAAACAAGGAUGACUUGUUCUAUUCGGCGUCUUAACUGCAAGAAGGCAAAUUCUUGUUAUACAAGUUAAAUGAAAACAUUUAUUUUAUUUUUUUUUUAUUUCUCUUUUUUUUUUUUGUUU